AUACCUUAAGCUAAAGAGUAAGGAAAAUAACGAUUUAGGAUGACGCGUGGGUCCUCACAGCCAAUGUGAGAGAAAUUUUUGAAUGGGUACAAUCAUCCCUAUGGUGACUCACCUACUUAGCAGGGUGCCUGGCUGUUUUCUAA
This 143-nucleotide small nuclear RNA is filed under the name Salvator merianae (Argentine black and white tegu). Its description in RNAcentral is "U12 minor spliceosomal RNA (ENSSMRG00000004790.1)". It matches the Rfam family "U12 minor spliceosomal RNA". From Rfam's summary of the family: Although the U12 sequence is very divergent from that of U2, the two are functionally analogous. Lineage: Eukaryota; Metazoa; Chordata; Lepidosauria; Squamata; Teiidae. The record is from Rfam by way of RNAcentral.